GGGUUGUGAGGUUAAGCGACUAAGCGUACACGGUGGAUGCCCUGGCAGUCAGAGGCGAUGAAGGACGUGCUAAUCUGCGAAAAGCGCCGGCGAGGUGAUAUGAACCCUUGACCCGGCGAUGUCCGAAUGGGGAAACCCAGUGCAAUCCGUUGCACUAUCGUUAACUGAAUACAUAGGUUAACGAGGCGAACCGGGGGAACUGAAACAUCUAAGUACCCCGAGGAAAAGAAAUCAACCGAGAUUCCCCCAGUAGCGGCGAGCGAACGGGGAGCAGCCCGGAGUCUGAAUCAGCUUGUGUGUUAGUGGAACGGUCUGGAAAGUCCGACGGUACAGGGUGAUAGUCCCGUACACGAAAGCACACAUGCUGUGAACUCGAAGAGUAGGGCGGGACACGUGGUAUCCUGUCUGAAUAUGGGGGGACCAUCCUCCAAGGCUAAAUACUCCUGACUGACCGAUAGUGAACCAGUACCGUGAGGGAAAGGCGAAAAGAACCCCGGCGAGGGGAGUGAAAAAGAACCUGAAACCGUGUACGUACAAGCAGUGGGAGCCUCUUUAUGGGGUGACUGCGUACCUUUUGUAUAAUGGGUCAGCGACUUAUAUUCUGUAGCAAGGUUAACCGUAUAGGGGAGCCGAAGGGAAACCGAGUCUUAACUGGGCGUUAAGUUGCAGGGUAUAGACCCGAAACCCGGUGAUCUAGCCAUGGGCAGGUUGAAGGUUGGGUAACACUAACUGGAGGACCGAACCGACUAAUGUUGAAAAAUUAGCGGAUGACCUGUGGCUGGGGGUGAAAGGCCAAUCAAACCGGGAGAUAGCUGGUUCUCCCCGAAAGCUAUUUAGGUAGCGCCUCGUGAAUUCAUCUUCGGGGGUAGAGCACUGUUUCGGCUAGGGGGCCAUCCCGGCUUACCAACCCGAUGCAAACUACGAAUACCGAAGAAUGUUAUCACGGGAGACACACGGCGGGUGCUAACGUCCGUCGUGAAGAGGGAAACAACCCAGACCGCCAGCUAAGGUCCCAAAGUCAUGGUUAAGUGGGAAACGAUGUGGGAAGGCACAGACAGCCAGGAUGUUGGCUUAGAAGCAGCCAUCAUUUAAAGAAAGCGUAAUAGCUCACUGGUCGAGUCGGCCUGCGCGGAAGAUGUAACGGGGCUAAACCAUGCACCGAAGCUGCGGCAGCGACACUUAUGUGUUGUUGGGUAGGGGAGCGUUCUGUAAGCCGUUGAAGGUGUGCUGUGAGGCAUGCUGGAGGUAUCAGAAGUGCGAAUGCUGACAUAAGUAACGAUAAAGCGGGUGAAAAGCCCGCUCGCCGGAAGACCAAGGGUUCCUGUCCAACGUUAAUCGGGGCAGGGUGAGUCGACCCCUAAGGCGAGGCCGAAAGGCGUAGUCGAUGGGAAACAGGUUAAUAUUCCUGUACUUGGUGUUACUGCGAAGGGGGGACGGAGAAGGCUAUGUCAGCCGGGCGACGGUUGUCCCGGUUUAAGCAUGUAGGCGGAGGUUCCAGGUAAAUCCGGUACCUUAUUAACGCUGAGGUGUGAUGACGAGGCACUACGGUGCUGAAGUGAUAAAUGCCCUGCUUCCAGGAAAAGCCUCUAAGCAUCAGGUAACACGAAAUCGUACCCCAAACCGACACAGGUGGUCAGGUAGAGAAUACCAAGGCGCUUGAGAGAACUCGGGUGAAGGAACUAGGCAAAAUGGUGCCGUAACUUCGGGAGAAGGCACGCUGAUGUGUAGGUGAAGCCCCUGCGGGCGGAGCUGAAAUCAGUCGAAGAUACCAGCUGGCUGCAACUGUUUAUUAAAAACACAGCACUGUGCAAACACGAAAGUGGACGUAUACGGUGUGACGCCUGCCCGGUGCCGGAAGGUUAAUUGAUGGGGUUAGCGGCAACGCGAAGCUCUUGAUCGAAGCCCCGGUAAACGGCGGCCGUAACUAUAACGGUCCUAAGGUAGCGAAAUUCCUUGUCGGGUAAGUUCCGACCUGCACGAAUGGCGUAAUGAUGGCCAGGCUGUCUCCACCCGAGACUCAGUGAAAUUGAACUCGCUGUGAAGAUGCAGUGUACCCGCGGCAAGACGGAAAGACCCCGUGAACCUUUACUAUAGCUUGACACUGAACACUGGUCCUUGAUGUGUAGGAUAGGUGGGAGGCUUUGAAGCGUGGACGCCAGUCUGCGUGGAGCCGACCUUGAAAUACCACCCUUUAAUGGCUGGUGUUCUAACGUAGACCCGUAAUCCGGGUUGCGGACAGUGUCUGGUGGGUAGUUUGACUGGGGCGGUCUCCUCCCAAAGAGUAACGGAGGAGCACGAAGGUUGGCUAAUCCUGGUCGGACAUCAGGAGGUUAGUGCAAUGGCAUAAGCCAGCUUGACUGCGAGCGUGACGGCGCGAGCAGGUGCGAAAGCAGGUCAUAGUGAUCCGGUGGUUCUGAAUGGAAGGGCCAUCGCUCAACGGAUAAAAGGUACUCCGGGGAUAACAGGCUGAUACCGCCCAAGAGUUCAUAUCGACGGCGGUGUUUGGCACCUCGAUGUCGGCUCAUCACAUCCUGGGGCUGAAGUAGGUCCCAAGGGUAUGGCUGUUCGCCAUUUAAAGUGGUACGCGAGCUGGGUUUAGAACGUCGUGAGACAGUUCGGUCCCUAUCUGCCGUGGGCGCUGGAGAAUUGAGGGGGGCUGCUCCUAGUACGAGAGGACCGGAGUGGACGCAUCACUGGUGUUCGGGUUGUCAUGCCAAUGGCACUGCCCGGUAGCUAAAUGCGGAAGAGAUAAGUGCUGAAAGCAUCUAAGCACGAAACUUGCCCCGAGAUGAGUUCUCCCUGAGACUUUAAGUCUCCUGAAGGAACGUUGAAGACGACGACGUUGAUAGGUCGGGUGUGUAAGCGCAGCGAUGCGUUGAGCUAACCGAUACUAAUGAACCGUGAGGCUUAACCUUACAACGCCGAAGGUGUUU
This 2933-nucleotide ribosomal RNA is filed under the name Enterobacter hormaechei. Its description in RNAcentral is "23S ribosomal RNA". It matches the Rfam family "Bacterial large subunit ribosomal RNA". The record is from RNAcentral. Lineage: Bacteria; Pseudomonadati; Pseudomonadota; Gammaproteobacteria; Enterobacterales; Enterobacteriaceae.